This 483-nucleotide ribosomal RNA is filed under the name uncultured bacterium. Its description in RNAcentral is "partial 16S ribosomal RNA". It matches the Rfam family "Bacterial small subunit ribosomal RNA", at positions 30 to 507 of the family's 1533-position model. The record is from RNAcentral.
UUGAACGCUGGCGGCAGGCCUAACCCAUGCCAGUCGCGCGGUAGAGAGAAGCUUGCUUCUCUUGAGAGCGGCGGACGGGUGAGUAAUGCCUAGGAAUCUGCCUGGUAGUGGGGGAUAACGUUCGGAAACGGACGCUAAUACCGCAUACGUCCUACGGGAGAAAGCAGGGGACCUUCGGGCCUUGCGCUAUCAGAUGAGCCUAGGUCGGAUUAGCUAGUUGGUGGGGUAAUGGCUCACCAAGGCGACGAUCCGUAACUGGUCUGAGAGGAUGAUCAGUCACACUGGAACUGAGACACGGUCCAGACUCCUACGGGAGGCAGCAGUGGGGAAUAUUGGACAAUGGGCGAAAGCCUGAUCCAGCCAUGCCGCGUGUGUGAAGAAGGUCUUCGGAUUGUAAAGCACUUUAAGUUGGGAGGAAGGGCAGUAAAUUAAUACGUUGCUGUUUUGACGUUACCGACAGAAUAAGCACCGGCUAACUCUGUG